Molecule: small nuclear RNA, 107 nt
Filed under: Physeter macrocephalus (sperm whale)
Lineage: Eukaryota; Metazoa; Chordata; Mammalia; Artiodactyla; Physeteridae
Source: RNAcentral
GUGCUCACUUUGGCAGCACAUAUACUAAAACUGUAACAAUACAGAGAAGAUUAGCAUGGUCCCUGCACAAGGAUGACAUGAAAAUUCAUGAAGUGUUCCAUAUUCUA